Long non-coding RNA from Anopheles darlingi, 288 nucleotides. RefSeq lists it as uncharacterized. NCBI's taxonomy places the organism in Eukaryota, Metazoa, Arthropoda, Insecta, Diptera, Culicidae. The transcript is spliced from 3 exons. The record is from RefSeq and is a predicted model, not a curated record.
GCGGCAGAAUGCUCAUGUUCUUUCGUGGAUUUAUCACACAUUAAUCAGUUUAUCAGGCUCUUUUUCCAAAACCACUUGCAACGUUCUUCGUUUUGAAGCAAAACAAUUACUCAAGGUUGUAGCCCAUUUUUCGCAUCAUUCCGAAUUCUGAUGAAAGUUGUUUUUUUAUUUGGGAAAAAUGCUCUUGUUCUAUCGAGGAUUUACCACAGAUUAAUCAGUUUACCGGGCUCUUUUCCAAAACCACUUGGAACGUUCUUCGUUUUACAGCAAAACAACAACUCAGGGUUG